GACGAACGUUGGCGGCGUGCCUAAUACAUGCAAGUCAACUGAAAUACCGGUAGCAAUACUGGUAUGGAGGUGGCGCACGGGUGAGUAACACGUAGGUAAUCUGCCUUCAGGUCUGACAUAACCCAUCGAAAGGUGAGCUAAUAUCAGAUGAUGCAGCGGCUUGACAUCAAGACAGUUGUUAAAGCUUCGGCGCCUGAAGAUGAGCCUGCGUCUGAUUAGCUAGUUGGCGGGUAACGGCCCACCAAGGCUGCGAUCAGUAGCUGGUCUGAGAGGAUGAUCAGUCGCACUGGAACUGAGACACGGUCCAGACUCCUACGGGAGGCAGCAGUAAGGAAUAUUGCUCAAUGGCCGAAAGGCUGAAGCAGCAACGCCGCGUGAGGGAUGAAGGGCUUUUGCUUGUAAACCUCUGUAGCGAGAGACAAAACU
This 426-nucleotide ribosomal RNA is filed under the name uncultured bacterium. Its description in RNAcentral is "bacterial SSU rRNA". It matches the Rfam family "Bacterial small subunit ribosomal RNA", at positions 28 to 452 of the family's 1533-position model. The record is from RNAcentral.